CCUACGUGUGGCAGCAGUGAGGAAUAUUGGUCAAUGGACUAGAGUCUGAACCAGCCACGUAGCGUGAAGGAUGACUGCCCUAUGGGUUGUAAACUUCUUUUAUAUGGGAAUAAAAUGUUCCACGUGUGGGAUUUUGUAUGUACCAUAUGAAUACGCAUCGGCUAAGUCCGUGCCAGCAGCCGCGGUAAUACGGAGGAUCCGAGCGUUCUCCGGAUUUAUUGGGUUUAAAGGGAGCGUAGGUGGAUUGUUAAGUUAGUUGUGAAAUUUUGCGGCUCAACCGUAAAAUGGCAGUUGAUACUGGCAGUCUGGAGUACAGUAGAGGUGGGCGGAAUUAGUGGUGUAGCGGUGAAAUGCUUAGAUAUCACGAAGAACUCCGAUUGCGAAGGCAGCUCACUGGACUGCAACUGACACUGAGGCUCGAAAGUGUGGGUAUCAAACAGGAUUAGAUACCCGAGUAGUC
RNAcentral lists this ribosomal RNA (460 nucleotides) under uncultured bacterium. Its description in RNAcentral is "partial 16S ribosomal RNA". It matches the Rfam family "Bacterial small subunit ribosomal RNA", at positions 338 to 795 of the family's 1533-position model. The record is from RNAcentral.